RNAcentral lists this unclassified non-coding RNA (2698 nucleotides) under Dendronephthya gigantea. RNAcentral's name for it is "uncharacterized LOC114520965, transcript variant X2". The record is from RNAcentral. Lineage: Eukaryota; Metazoa; Cnidaria; Anthozoa; Malacalcyonacea; Nephtheidae.
GUGCAUCCUCAGUGAGGGUCAUGUUUUCGAAAGUGGAAGCACUGUUAUUGUGUUUUUCGAACUUUUGGCAUAGAUGCAAAUAUUAUUUUAAUUUUUUAUAUUAUUUUUAUACCAGCAUGGUUGGAUAAUGGCGAGUAGUUUUCUUUGUCCAAAACCGGAGUGUUUUCAUCUUUCCUUUACUACAUUCAAUCGUUUUUUAAACCACCUACGCGAUAAUCACAUUCAUGAGCCAGGGUUCAAAAUAAAAUGUCCAGUGCAGUCAUGCUUUCGCUCAUAUUCUGUUCUCUCCUCUCUAACUUCGCAUGUUUCCCGUAAACAUGGAAAGGAAAAAGUAAUAAAUGAUGACGUUGGUUCAAGAAAUCCCGAAAACGAUGCACUAAACCGAUUGGAUAAUACAAUCGAAUGUAUACCGAAGACACCCAAGACAGGAGAGGCUUUCUCAAAGAGACAUUUAGCUUUAUUUGCCCUAAAGACGCAAGAAUUAAAUCAACUAACUGACAGUACAACAAACAAGGUGAUAGAUAAUACAACAGAAUUACUCCAACAACACGAGGCCCAUGUUAAAGAAAAGAUUAGACUGUGUUUGGAUAAAAGUGGGAUUAAAAUCAGUGAUAUUGAUGGAUUGGGAGUUGUCAUGAACUUGGAACAAACACCCAACAUGGAAUUCCUGAAAUCCACUAAGAAUAGGAACAAUUAUAUAUCUCAAGAAUUUAAGAUAGUGAAUCCAAUUGAGAUAGUCCUUGGGGAGAAAUAUAUGUAUGAUGAGAAUACAACGAAUGGUUCAUCGAAAGUGAAAGUGCAUUCAUUCCAGUACAUAUCAUUCAUCCAGGUCCUUCAACAGCUGCUAAAUCAAAUUGAUGUUUACUCACAGAUUGAAAAUUCUCAUAGAAGUGUUGAUGGGAAAAUGAGGGACCUUUGUGAUGGUGCUGAUUUUGGAGUGGGCAAACAUCCACUUUUUUCCUUAAAUUAUAAGGCUAUCCAAUUAAUUUUAUAUUAUGAUGACUUCGAAGUUUCCAAUCCACUAGGAUCAAAAGCUGUUGUACAUAAAAUUGGUGCCUUCUAUUGGGUGUUAGGAAAUUUCCAUCCCAAGUAUAGAUCAUGCCUAAAAAAUUUGAAUCUUUUGAUUCUUUGUCCAGUCAAGUGGAUUAAGAUGUAUGGUAUGGAUAAAGUCCUCAGGCCAUUCAUGAGUGACCUUGCUAUGCUUGAAUCAGAACAUGGCGUACAACUCAAUAUAGCAAAUCAAAUUAUUCCAAUUAAAGGAACAUUAAGUGUAGUAAUUGCAGAUAACCUUGGUAGCAAUUCAAUUGGAGGUUUCAUGGAGAGUUUCAGUGCAAAUCGGCCGUGUAGGUUCUGUCUGGGCACAUCGGUGGAAUUUCAAGAAAGGUUUUCUGAAGAAUUAUUCACGAUGAGAUCCCGAGAAAAUUAUGCCAGGCAGGUGGAUUUGGUUUCCACUGAUCCAGAAUCAGCUUCUGUAUAUGGUGUAAAAAAGAACUCAGCCCUAAAUGCUUCUAAAUAUUUCCAUGUUGUUGAUGGACUUCCUUCUGAUAUCAUGCAUGAUAUCUUAGAAGGUGUACUUCCUUUCCAAAUUAAAGCGAUGUUGAGAAAAUUCAUCAUGGUGGAUAAAUUUUUCACACUUGAUCAGUUCAACAACGCGCUUUCAGCAUUCCCAUAUGGUGUUUGUGACAUCAAGAACAAACCAAGCUUGGUAAAGAAUGUCAAUCUUAGUGAUUACCAUUUACGCCAAUCAGCAUCACAAAUGUGGUGUCUUUCUAGAAUCCUGCCAUUUUUGGUUCACAAAUGGAUACCAGAAGGAAAUGAUGACUGGGAAUUGUUCACUGAUUUAAUGCAUAUUGUUGAUAUAUUGUUUGCCCCAGUGAUUGAGAAAGGUACUACACUCUAUCUUCGGCUCAUAAUCAGCGAGUAUCUGGAACAGUUUAAAAGGCUCUAUCCUGAAAGAAAACUUAUUCCAAAACAGCAUUUCAUGGUUCAUUACCCAAACCAAAUUCUAAGAUAUGGACCCCUUGUGCGCAACUGGUGCAUGCGCUUUGAGGCUAAGCAUCAUUAUUUUAAGCUUUUGGCGCAGACUGUAGGUUGCUUCAAGAAUAUAGCAAAGACAUUAGCUACCAGGCACCAACGGCUUCAGUGUUACUGGCUUAGUGACAGUGAUGGCUAUUUAAGGAGUGAUACUGAGGUUGGACCAGGUUAGUGAACAACAAAAGUGCAUACUGGAUAUUAGCUGGAAUUUUGUAAUGGUUUUUAGGAUGUUAAAUGUUGUUAUAAGUAUCCUUUAUUUCUACUUCAUGUAUUUAUUAAUAUUCUGCUUAGGUAAAGUUUUUAUGUGAAGGAUCUGGAAGAGAAAGAAUGCACCUCACUGUGCCAGUUGGGCAACAAUUUGGAUCAGAAUUCAACUGUGACACUGUUGAAUUGGGUGAAAGUCAAUGGUUACAAGUACAAAAAGAAUAUGAUCAUAGUCUAUCAGCAAUUAAUUUUUCCUGUGUUUCUUUUUAUACAUAAUGUUUUUUUUAUGCCAAACAUGGAUGUUAUGUUUUCUUGCAAGAAAGUAAAUACAGUUGCUUUUAGCAGGCACAUUCAUUGCUAUGAGGUUGAAGUUUUGGACGAAUUUGUGCCCUUAUUAUUUUCUGGGAUGCUAGAUCAUCAUCCUCUAGAUCUUUAUACCAUUAUUGUAAAUAGAGAAUCA